RNAcentral lists this ribosomal RNA (253 nucleotides) under uncultured bacterium. Its description in RNAcentral is "partial 16S ribosomal RNA". It matches the Rfam family "Bacterial small subunit ribosomal RNA", at positions 524 to 776 of the family's 1533-position model. The record is from RNAcentral.
UACGGAGGGUGCGAGCGUUAAUCGGAAUUACUGGGCGUAAAGGGUGCGUAGGUGGUUGAUUAAGUUAUCUGUGAAAUUUCUGGGCUUAACCUGGGCAGGUCAGAUGAUACUGAUUAACUCGAGUAUGAGAGAGGGUAGUGGAAUUUCCGGUGUAGCGGUGAAAUGCGUAGAGAUCGGAAGGAACACCGGUGGCGAAGGCGGCUACCUGGCUUAAUACUGACACUGAGGCACGAAAGCGUGGGGAGCAAACAGG